This 419-nucleotide long non-coding RNA is filed under the name Vigna radiata. Its description in RNAcentral is "long non-coding RNA (VRAD_LNC010867)". Lineage: Eukaryota; Viridiplantae; Streptophyta; Magnoliopsida; Fabales; Fabaceae. The record is from RNAcentral.
GGCCAAGAGAUUCCAUUUUGUUGUUCAAGACUCCGUAUGCCAAAAUGAUUGAUAGUCAAGUAGUUCUCUGAUAAUAUUAGAACUUAAGUUUAUGUAACAAUUUAAUAUUAACACGAACGAUCAUUAAGAAGUUACAGAUAGACAGAAAGUGAAAGCAUCACAGUUUGUUGCCCUGUCAUAAAGAGAAAUUAUAAUAAAAACACCCUGCUCUCCCUAUCUCUCAUAAUUCUCAAGGCACAAACACAUAAAAGACAUUUAAUAUAAAGAGAAAAUGGAGGAAGAUCUCGGUGAAUAGGUUUAAGGAAGAGGCCAUGAUGAUAUAAGUUUUCUCCACUUCCAGUCUCCAAUAAGUUCACUUUUUCAAAUGAGGAAAACAGGCAUAAACAUCAGAUUUAGGGUGUUUGGCUUCGGCGUGCUCC